GUAGGGAAUCUUCCACAAUGGACGAAAGUCUGAUGGAGCAACGCCGCGUGAGUGAAGAAGGUCUUCGGAUCGUAAAACUCUGUUGUUAGAGAAGAACGUGCAUGAUAGUAACUGAUCAUGUAAUGACGGUAUCUAACCAGAAAGCCACGGCUAACUACGUGCCAGCAGCCGCGGUAAUACGUAGGUGGCAAGCGUUGUCCGGAUUUAUUGGGCGUAAAGGGAACGCAGGCGGUUUUUUAAGUCUGAUGUGAAAGCCUUCGGCUUAACCGAAGAAUAGCAUUGGAAACUGGAAGACUUGAGUGCAGAAGAGGAGAGUGGAAUUCCAUGUGUAGCGGUGAAAUGCGUAGAUAUAUGGAGGAACAACAGUGGCGAAAGCGGCUCUCUGGUCUGUAACUGACGCUGAGGUUCGAAAGCGUGGGUAGCAAACAGGAUUAGAAACCCGAGUAGUCC
RNAcentral lists this ribosomal RNA (450 nucleotides) under uncultured bacterium. RNAcentral describes it as "partial 16S ribosomal RNA". It matches the Rfam family "Bacterial small subunit ribosomal RNA", at positions 354 to 796 of the family's 1533-position model. The record is from RNAcentral.